This 303-nucleotide ribosomal RNA is filed under the name Salmonella enterica. Its description in RNAcentral is "bacterial SSU rRNA". It matches the Rfam family "Bacterial small subunit ribosomal RNA", at positions 1153 to 1455 of the family's 1533-position model. The record is from RNAcentral. RNAcentral also lists the same sequence under 1 other name. Lineage: Bacteria; Pseudomonadati; Pseudomonadota; Gammaproteobacteria; Enterobacterales; Enterobacteriaceae.
CAGUGAUAAACUGGAGGAAGGUGGGGAUGACGUCAAGUCAUCAUGGCCCUUACGACCAGGGCUACACACGUGCUACAAUGGCGCAUACAAAGAGAAGCGACCUCGCGAGAGCAAGCGGACCUCAUAAAGUGCGUCGUAGUCCGGAUUGGAGUCUGCAACUCGACUCCAUGAAGUCGGAAUCGCUAGUAAUCGUGGAUCAGAAUGCCACGGUGAAUACGUUCCCGGGCCUUGUACACACCGCCCGUCACACCAUGGGAGUGGGUUGCAAAAGAAGUAGGUAGCUUAACCUUCGGGAGGGCGCUU